RNAcentral lists this ribosomal RNA (253 nucleotides) under uncultured prokaryote. Its description in RNAcentral is "partial 16S ribosomal RNA". It matches the Rfam family "Bacterial small subunit ribosomal RNA", at positions 525 to 777 of the family's 1533-position model. The record is from RNAcentral.
ACGUAGGGCGCGAGCGUUGUCCGGAUUUAUUGGGCGUAAAGAGCUCGUAGGCGGCUCGUUGCGUCGGCUGUGAAAACCCGCAGCUCAACUGUGGGCUUGCAGCUGAUACGGGCGGGCUGGGAUUCGGUAGGGGAGACUGGAAUUCCUGGUGUAGCGGUGAAAUGCGCAGAUAUCAGGAGGAACACCGGUGGCGAAGGCGGUCACCUGGCCCGUAACUGACGCUGAGGCACGAAAGCGUGGGGAUCAAACAGGA